RNAcentral lists this ribosomal RNA (562 nucleotides) under uncultured Candidatus Korobacter sp. RNAcentral describes it as "bacterial SSU rRNA". It matches the Rfam family "Bacterial small subunit ribosomal RNA", at positions 344 to 922 of the family's 1533-position model. Lineage: Bacteria; Pseudomonadati; Acidobacteriota; Terriglobia; Terriglobales; Candidatus Korobacteraceae. The record is from RNAcentral.
GGAGGCAUCGGUGGGGAAUUGUUCGCAAUGGGCGCAAGCCUGACGACACACCGCCGCGUGGAGGAUGAAGAUCUUCGGGUCGUAAACUCCUUUCGAUCGGGAAGAUUAUGACGGUACCGGAAGAAGAAGCCCCGGCUAACUCUGUGCCAGCAGCCGCGGUAAUACAGAGGGGGCAAGCUUUGUUCGGAAUUAUUGGGCGUAAUGGGCGCGUAGGCGGUGCGGUAUGUCACUUGUGAAAUCUCUGGGCUCAACUCAGAGUCUGCAACCGAAACUGCCGUGCUUGAGUGUCGGAGAGGUAACUGCAAUUCCCGGUGUAGCGGUGAAAUGCGUAGAUGUCGGGAGGAACACCUGUGGCAAAAGCGGCUUACUACACCACAACUGACGCUCAGGCGCGAAAACUAGGGGAGCAAACAGGAUUAGAUACCCUGGUAGUCCUAGCCCUAAACUAUGAAUGCUUGGUGUGACAGGUACCCAAUCCUGUCGUGCCGGAGCUAACGCUCUAACCAUUCCGCCUGGGGAGUACGGUCGCAAGGCUGAAACUUAAAGGAAUUGACGGGACUCU